This 1785-nucleotide long non-coding RNA is filed under the name Mus spicilegus (steppe mouse). The record is from RNAcentral. Lineage: Eukaryota; Metazoa; Chordata; Mammalia; Rodentia; Muridae.
AGCACAAUCUGUGGCAGGUAUUUGGAUUGUUUGGCGUAAAGUCUUUUAUUGAAGUUUGGGUUUUGUUUUGUUUUUUUUCUGUUUCAGAUAUGGCUCAUCUCAAAGCCCUUUACCCUUUGGAGCCAGGCCUGUUCAAUUUUACAAAUAGCACGUUUUGCUUGUAGUCAGGUAGGUAUUGAUGGUUGGUGCUUCCUUAGGGAACAUAUUUAGAUGGCCACUAAAUGAUGAACAAUGUAAAUGACAAGCAUAUGGCUGAGUUGCAAUGAUGUCAUCUUACUACUGAAGUGGGCUGAAGAAAGAAGGUGCUGAAGUGGCUGUGAUUACAUUUAAAAAAAUGACAUUGUUUCUCUGUUUCCAGGGUGCUGUGACAACAUGAAGAGUUCAAGCUACCUCCCAGGAUGAGUGCAGGUAAUUAUCCAAGUAGAGCUUAGGCUUUCUCUAGGAAAAAUAGUCAAGACAGACAUUGAAGCAGCACAACACUUUUUUGCUGCUUGUUAUUUGUAUUUCUAGAGGACACAUUAUGUUAAGGCCUUUGUUCUCUUAAAAACUCAACUGUCAGAUGAUUUGAAAUGAUGACACUGAACACUCCAUGAAGGUGUGAAUUUAUAGCAUGUUAGAGUUCUGAUGGCAGUUAGUGCUGACAGAGAUUGUAAUUCUGUCCUGAUGGUUGAAAAUAACUGCUUGUUACUCUUCCACAGGUUUUCCUGGUGACAAAUCUCAGGCAUUCAAAGGUUAGUUAGAUUAUUUUGGAUGGGGUUUGUUUGUUCACUAGGUUUGCUGUUUCUAUGAUGAAUCAAACUAGCUCACUAUGACUGCUAAUGAAAACACAGGAACACCUGAGAAACCAAAGGGUAGUGUGGGGGCAAGGGUGCUUAUAUCCAGCCUUUUCAAGGUUUGUUAUUUUUCUCCAGGUUCUGUUAGCCGUGCCAUACUUGUGGGUUUACAGAGAUGGUGUGUCUGGCUGAGCAAAGGAGCCAUACCAGGUAUAUGUCUUAGUAAUGCUUUUUGUAGUAUAAGGUUGAAUAUAUAAUACUUAGACCUAGUGAAUUCCUGCUCACCCUGAUGAACUGAAUACCGCCCCAGUCUGAUAGCUGUGAAGAAAGGUAUUUUCUGAGUUGUGAGCUCAUCUUGGAUCAAGUAGGAAAUUUUUUAUGCUAAUACUAGCAUAGUAUUAAUACUAGCAUAAGCUUUUGUAAAAGAAGCUUAAGCAUUAAUGGCCCAAGUUGUUUGCUAUUUUGCAGGAAAAUUGAAGCAUAUCUUCAUUUUCAAGUCCAGGCUAAAAUAAGGUGAGAAAACUUAGAUGAAAAGUAUGCUGAACUAUAAUUUCCCCAUGAAGAAAUGUUCACACGUCCUACUUCCUGUCCUAGCUCCAGAGCCUGAAAAGGUGAACCCACUGGGGCUGGCUGGGGGAAAAGAGGAAACUUUGUUCCAGAAGGAACUGUCUGAGGGAUCAUUUUUGUGCGUAGAAAGGGAAGAAUUCUCACUUGAUUAAAGAGGAAUCAAAAGGUGAUUUACUUGUUUUACAGGUCUGAGGAAAAGAAUGAGCUGCCUGUGAAGGACAGGUAAGCCCUUCAAAUCAUUAGAAUGGGCGGGGCAGGGUUGGGGGAAACUGGUUAACUAGACAGCCUAUAGUCUCUUCUGAUAGUGAAUGUAGGAUGAUUUUGCUUUCUACUCCUAAUUCAAAUUUUUAUCUUACAGGAACAGAAAUCAUGAAAGAUCUGUUUGUCCAGGCCAGUGUUUCACCAUAAGAGAUCACUUUAAAAUAAAUGAGAUGAAUUCUUUGCA